Molecule: non-coding RNA, 652 nt
Organism: Lupinus albus (white lupine)
Lineage: Eukaryota; Viridiplantae; Streptophyta; Magnoliopsida; Fabales; Fabaceae
Source: the annotation of a GenBank genome assembly
UUGAUUCAUCGCUGGUUCAUCGUUUAUUCGAAAUCUCUCCAUAACCAUGGUGAAAACCGAUUACAAAUUGUGGCAAAGAACAAAGCAAGGAAAAGUUGAUCUUUAUGAUAACAUAUGUUGAAAAAGAAGAUGGUUCAAGCUUGAAGGUAUAGCUGCACACCAAGUGUUUGAUAAAAUUUGAGUGAUUUGAACAAUAAUUAGAUUUAAUUUUCCCAAUAGCAAUGACUCUUGGAAGAGCUAAUGUAUGUAUAGAUUCAUUCAUGUAUAAAUAUUUAACUUAUGAAAAAAUAAUUAUGAUAACUUUUGCUCUUCCAAUCUAAACUGAGGCCAGAUUCGUGCAUGGAAGAAAUGGGAACAGAGCCAUCUCGUUGAUGAAGACGCCUUAAAUGAGCCAACAUGAUUAGUUGGAGGGUAAGUUUUUAGAGCAACAAGUAGAGUUGGAAGCUAAAUAUCAGAAGCUUUAUGAACCACUUUACACAAAGGUGUGUGUUCUUCAUUGGUAUUGAGCAUUGAAUCAUGUCUAUUUAUGAAAUAGUUUUUUAUUUAUUUAUUGAGCAUGGAUAUAAUAUAGCCACCCCAACAUGCCAUGGGAUAAGUCGGAACUUUGGGUGAGUAUAAUUGCUUUAUUUGUGCCCUGUUUUUUUUAUUAUUC